This 471-nucleotide ribosomal RNA is filed under the name uncultured bacterium. RNAcentral describes it as "bacterial SSU rRNA". It matches the Rfam family "Bacterial small subunit ribosomal RNA", at positions 335 to 802 of the family's 1533-position model. The record is from RNAcentral.
ACUCCUACGGGAGGCAGCAGUGGGGAAUAUUGCACAAUGGGGGAAACCCUGAUGCAGCCAUGCCGCGUGUGUGAAGAAGGCCUUCGGGUUGUAAAGCACUUUCAGUAGGGAGGAAGGUAGUGUAGUUAACACCUGCAUUAUUUGACGUUACCUACAGAAGAAGCACCGGCUAACUCCGUGCCAGCAGCCGCGGUAAUACGGAGGGUGCGAGCGUUAAUCGGAAUUACUGGGCGUAAAGCGCAUGCAGGCGGCCUGUUAAGUCAGAUGUGAAAGCCCGGGGCUUAACCUCGGAAUUGCAUUUGAAACUGGCAGGCUAGAGUCUUGUAGAGGGGUAGAAUUUCAGGUGUAGCGGUGAAAUGCGUAGAGAUCUGAAGGAAUACCAGUGGCGAAGGCGGCCCCCUGGACAAAGACUGACGCUCAGAUGCGAAAGCGUGGGAGCAAACAGGAUUAGAUACCCCUGGUAGACUGUCA